This 253-nucleotide ribosomal RNA is filed under the name uncultured bacterium. RNAcentral's name for it is "partial 16S ribosomal RNA". It matches the Rfam family "Bacterial small subunit ribosomal RNA", at positions 524 to 776 of the family's 1533-position model. The record is from RNAcentral.
UACGUAGGGUGCGAGCGUUGUCCGGAAUUAUUGGGCGUAAAGGGCUCGUAGGCGGUUUGUCGCGUCGGGAGUGAAAACUCAGGGCUUAACCCUGAGCCUGCUUCCGAUACGGGCAGACUAGAGGUAUGCAGGGGAGAACGGAAUUCCUGGUGUAGCGGUGAAAUGCGCAGAUAUCAGGGGGAACACCGGUGGCGAAGGCGGUUCUCUGGGCAUUACCUGACGCUGAGGAGCGAAAGUGUGGGGAGCGAACAGG